This 373-nucleotide ribosomal RNA is filed under the name uncultured organism. RNAcentral's name for it is "partial 16S ribosomal RNA". It matches the Rfam family "Bacterial small subunit ribosomal RNA", at positions 527 to 896 of the family's 1533-position model. The record is from RNAcentral.
GUAGGUGGCAAGCGUUGUCCGGAAUUAUUGGGCGUAAAGCGCGCGCAGGCGGUUCUUUAAGUCUGAUGUGAAAGCCCACGGCUCAACCGUGGAGGGUCAUUGGAAACUGGAGAACUUGAGUACAGAAGAGGAAAGCGGAAUUCCACGUGUAGCGGUGAAAUGCGUAGAGAUGUGGAGGAACACCAGUGGCGAAGGCGGCUUUCUGGUCUGUAACUGACGCUGAGGCGCGAAAGCGUGGGGAGCAAACAGGACUAGAUACCCUGGUAGUCCACGCCGUAAACGAUGAGUGCUAAGUGUUAGGGGGGUUUCCGCCCCCCUUAGUGCUGCAGCUAACGCAUUAAGCACUCCGCCUGGGAGUACGGCCGCAAGGCUG